Molecule: small nuclear RNA, 197 nt
Organism: Schistocerca nitens (vagrant locust)
Lineage: Eukaryota; Metazoa; Arthropoda; Insecta; Orthoptera; Acrididae
Product: U2 spliceosomal RNA
Exons: 1
Source: RefSeq, a predicted model, not a curated record
AUUUCUUCCAAGUAUUCUCUCAUCCAGUAAAAAAAAAAAAUAUCUGUUCAUAUCAGCUUAAUAUCUUUUAUGUCUUGCUUUACAAGACUAGAAUAUUAAACUCAUUUUUGGCUCGUGACUUAGUGCAAAGAGCAUGCUCUACCCCUGCCACAGGUUGCUUCCUCACUUUUGAACUGUCUUAAGGUAGCCAAAUGCCU